UAUAUAUAUAUAUAUAAUGGAAUUGAUGUGGAAUAAUAUACUUUGAGUUGUCGUGACAAAAUCGCACAUUUCGUAUGUUCUAUUGACAUGAACACAGAGGACCAGCAGCUGGCAGACUAAGAGCGCAAAAAUCUGCAUAAGUCGGGGUGGUCGAAGGGUCCCAGAACACAGGACUUUAACCCGGUGGAGCAAUGUUUGUGUCCUGGAAGUACUGCUUAAAGCUAUAGUGCGUAGUUUCUGUCCCCCCAUGAGGCACAUCCACAAGACACACCCCCAACCCUCCUCCACAUAGAUGCUAGUAGCCAAGGAGGACACGGAAGAUUAAAAAAAAAAUGCAAUGGACUCUUCAGAAGAGCUAAUUAUCUUCACUCAAUUUCCUGCGCACGAAAGUCGCCAGACGACACCAUUUUCUGAACAUAGCCAUACUGAGAAAUACAGAGAGAGUUUUGUGGAGCUGAUAGUCUUAAUUAGCUUUGUAUCAUAUCAUUUGGCACUAAAACUUUAAAGGGAUCUGUGUUUUUAACCAGUUGUUUUGGUGCCUAAACCUAACUGUCACAACUGUCAUUGUGACCAUCACCUAGUGGUGACUGGUUGCUGUUUAACAGUCACCUUUUGGUGUCUGAACUUAACUGUCACAACCACCUGUCACCUACGGUUGACCUGUCGCUGUAAUUUCAUAAGAAAUCACAGGAACCCGUUGAUACGUUGAAUUGUUUGGAAUUGGUGGGACUGUGCAAUUGGUGAGUUUUAGUUCCUUUGAAUUGUCUCUUUGAGCAGCAAUCCCUCCAGUCUAAGUUUUAAAAUGGCGAAUAAUAUAAGUUUUGAUAAGAAUGACUUUAAAGUAACCUAUAUUAUCAUUUAAUGUUACACUGUAACAAUGAGUCUACUAUAAGUACUAGCAAUAUGUUAGCUGUUAGUUGAUGUUAGCUACUGCAGAUGAGGCAUUUACCUAGCUAACAUGCUAGUCUAAAAAUUGAUCAGAGUGCUAAAUCCAUUGAACUAUAUUUUUCCAGCUAUCUGCCAGAAGUGAACAAUAUAUCUUCUUUCCCUCGUUGCCCAAGUACUGAAGGCCUCUUACAUGGCCGACAGUGGGAAUGUCACUUUAUGAAAGAAAAAAAAAGCCAAACUUAGACUUAAGUAACAGAACUCUUUUGCAAAUUUUAAAGCCAUCUCCUUUUUUCUGGACCUAUCCUCAUGCCACCAAACCAAACACGUUGCUGCUGUCAAAUAAAAACUCUUGAAAGGAGUACAUUACCCUUGAUAUAGUUUGGAUUAUUGUGAAACCCUCUAAAAAUCCAGAUCUUUAUAUAUGUUUUAGAGUGUAGUUCUCAGAUGCUGUGUUUUUAUCUGACAGCACAUAUGUGUCUGAACAGAAUUAAACGUACUGUAUGUGCUACAAUACUUGAACCACUGAUCUACACAGGGUAAAACAACAUACAGGACGGUUGACCAAAGCUUCAUUCAUCUACAUCAGGAGAACAACUCUGGGACAAGAGCAUAUCUCUGAUCCAUCUUCUUUUCAGUUCUUCCACAAAAUGACUCAAGCACUCCGCUAUAGUCAUUUAAAUACCCCGUCAUUGAACGGUUUGUCUUUAUGCUUGAUGAAUAGUGAAAUUGAGGCAACGUUACUUCCGUGUACAGGCACUCAUUUACACAUUCUGUUCAAUUUGAAAGAAUGACUAAAACGGUCUAAGGAUGUGGACCACUGUAUUGAUGUUUGACUGCUAUUCACUGGCUUAAUUUGUCUUUUGAUGAAGAUGUGUGAAGAUGACUUUAGUGAUGUUGAAAUAGUAAUGAGGCUUAGUUAGCGAAGUAUGAAAAAAAAAAAAGUGCUGCAGUACCAAGAAGGCCCACUUGGUCUCUGGUGCUUCUGUUACUUAGUUCCGCUUCUUGUUUUCUGCUUUACCACUUGUUGGGGUAAAAGAUGAAAAGACUUGGGCAAUGCAGAGGAAAUGCUUUGAAGGCUGUGGUACCAUAGGGUUCAUUUUUCCAUUCUGUUGCAUCUGUGGCAUUCGACUUCCACAUAAAAAAAGUACAGAAGAAAAGACCGUAAUGAAGGAUGUGGAGUGUGAGAAGGAAAGAGGUGGAGGGAGAGAUUGACCAAACAGAACUGUUCACUGUGCCUUUCCCAUACUGAAAAUGAUGUAUUUUUCAUUCACAUCAAUAUAUUUAAAUAUAAAUUUUGACAACAAUCAUUUAAGAUGGAUUUGGAACUUAUAAAAUAUUAAUAUAUGCAAUAUUUUGUGGAAUAUGCUCAUUGGCUUUCUUUCCCAGACUGAGAUGAGAAGAUUAAUACCAAUCUCAUGUCAGAACGUUUAGCCAAGCUAGCGUGAAAAAGGAAAGAGCUAGCCUGGUUCAGUCCAUACAGGGAAAACAUAUGUCAACCAACGCCUCUAAAGCUGGCUAAGUGAACAAAUUGUAUCUUAUUUAUUUAACCUUUACAUAAUGUAAAAUCAUGUUGUGGUAGAAAGAGUGGGCCUAACUAAAACCCAUUACUUCAUUUUUUUUAACUUUGCUUCACCACUGCUGUCAGUCUUUGUGCUAAGCUGAGCUAAGCUAACUACGUCCUGAUUCCAGCUCUGCUCUUAACAUACAGACAUAAGAUUGAUAUUGUAUUAUCUCACUCUCUAAAACAAAAAAAGUAACAUUUUUUUUUUUAAAUAACAAAUAGUGCACCUACAAGCACCACUUAGCUAGCUAAUUUAUACCUUAUAUAGUAUUACAUUAUAUCACAUUUGUUUUACUUUUGAACAAAGCAUAACGCCUGCAUCUAGUCUCUUUCGGGUUAGCUAACCGUAUCUUAGCUCUAGCUUAAAAUUUAGCGGCAGACAUGGGAGUGGUAUCAGUUUUCUCAUCUGUCUCACCCUCUGUUUAAAAAUUAAAAAUAAAUAGAUAAAUCAGGAACCCACAAACAUUUUGGGGUAUUCUAAAAGCCAUUUCUGAAUCUAUUUUAAGUGUUUGGAAACUGACUUAUUUUUCAGUAUGGGCUGCACCCUCCCACGUGACACCUCCUCAGACCCAUAUAGACACACAAACGCACAACCUUAAUACUUCCCCUCGUGUGCCAUUUUGAUCACCCUCCAAACUGCAACACUCAAGUUACAGCAAGUUUCUCAUCCCUCCAGUUCUCUCCAGCUUCCUCACCUGCUGAGUUCACUUUGAUUAAAGUACAUUUCUGAGAAGGCGCAUAGGACAUAAAAAAAAAAACCUUCACACAGAUUAAAGAAGAGAGAGGUAGAAAGGGAAAAAAAUAUCUUAAAGAGUUUUAAUACUUUAUGAAUUCUGAUACCUUUUUAAGAGUUUCAGACUUGAAGCUGCUGUGACAGGUUUUGGCUGUUUCACGCCCGUGUAAAUAUCCUGCUCUUUCCUAUUUUGCAGAUUUAUUACGUGUAAAUAGACACGCAUCAAGGAGAGAUUAAACAUGUUUUUUGCUAAA
Sander lucioperca (pikeperch) is the source of this 3436-nucleotide long non-coding RNA. RefSeq lists it as uncharacterized. The record is from RefSeq and is a predicted model, not a curated record. NCBI's taxonomy places the organism in Eukaryota, Metazoa, Chordata, Actinopteri, Perciformes, Percidae. The transcript has 2 exons.